GAUGAAGAACGCAGCGAAAUGCGAUAAGUAGUGUGAAUUGCAGAAUUCAGUGAAUCAUCGAAUCUUUGAACGCACAUUGCGCCUCCUGGUAUUCCUGGAGGCAUGCCUGUUCGAGCGUCAUUAAAAUCACUCAAGCUUAGGUUUACCUAUUGCUUGGUCUUGGAGAUGGAAGCCAAUUUAUUGGAAUCCUCUUCGAAAUUCAAUGGCGAAGACCCUUGCUCUCCCAAGUGUAGUAAUAACUUAUGUCACUGAAGGAAGCGAGAAAUCUUCUGCCGUAACCCCCAUAUUUUCUAUGAUUGACCUCGGAUCAGGUAGGGAUACCCGCUGAACUUAAGCAUAUCAAUAAGCGGAGGA
This 354-nucleotide unclassified non-coding RNA is filed under the name soil metagenome. Its description in RNAcentral is "partial contains 5.8S ribosomal RNA, internal transcribed spacer 2, and large subunit ribosomal RNA". The stretch from base 1 to 120 matches the Rfam family "5.8S ribosomal RNA", at positions 35 to 154 of the family's 154-position model. The record is from RNAcentral.